This is a non-coding RNA of Chelonia mydas (Green sea turtle), 155 nucleotides long. Lineage: Eukaryota; Metazoa; Chordata; Testudines; Cheloniidae. The record is from Rfam.
CCUUGACAGCCACUACUUGAUACUGCAACAAAGUCACAAUUCUGUGUUUGUGACAACAUAGUCUGUUGCCAUGGGAAGGGUUAAGAUGUCAGAACUUCAGUAUUAUGACUUGACUGCAUGAUUAAGCAGGAAAAGAAGAUGGGCUGUGAGGGAGA